Molecule: ribosomal RNA, 406 nt
Filed under: uncultured bacterium
Lineage: Bacteria
Description: partial 16S ribosomal RNA
Rfam family: Bacterial small subunit ribosomal RNA
Source: RNAcentral
AUUGAACGCUGGCGGCAGGCCUAACACAUGCAAGUCGAACGAGUGGCGGACGGGUGAGUAAUUUCUGGGAAACUGCCUGAUGGAGGGGGAUAACUACUGGAAACGGUAGCUAAUACCGCAUACCUUCGGAUGUGUCCAGAUGGGAUUAGCCAGGAGGUGGGGUAAAGGCUCACCUAGUCGACGAUCCCUAGCCGGUCUGAUAGGAUGACCAGCCACACUGGAACUGAGACACGGUCCAGACUCAUACGGGAGGCAGCAGUGGUGAAUAUUGCACAAUGGGCGCAAGCCUGAUGCAGCCAUGCCGCGUGUAUGAAGAAGGCCUUCGGGUUGUAAAGUACUUGCAGCGGGGAGGCGUUAACCGCAGAAGAAGCACCGGCUAACUCCGUGCCAGCAGCCGCGGUAAUAC